ACCAUUAUGGUGUAAGCAAACACAACACAUUUUCAAUGUGUAGCUAAGUAAUCCUUUAAAGGUA
RNAcentral lists this transfer RNA (64 nucleotides) under Occasjapyx japonicus. Its description in RNAcentral is "tRNA-Glu". Lineage: Eukaryota; Metazoa; Arthropoda; Diplura; Dicellurata; Japygidae. The record is from RNAcentral.